Molecule: long non-coding RNA, 979 nt
Filed under: Equus caballus (horse)
Lineage: Eukaryota; Metazoa; Chordata; Mammalia; Perissodactyla; Equidae
Description: lncRNA (ENSECAG00000048363.1)
Source: RNAcentral
UUGAAUUGCAGGGAGAGUUGGGACAAUGCAUAAAAGCUGAAAGACCCAACAAGAUCAGAUAAUGCAAAGACAGUGUUGCAGUGCAGGGGCAAUGAGUGAGCCAAAACCUCAGGAGAGAAAGGGGAGCAGAGAGGAAGAGGUGGUGCUGCCGAGGGGCCGUGAACUAGCUCAGUUCCUGGAGCACUGGGUCCUGGAUGAGUCCUCAGGGGCUAAACCACAUCCUGUGAGGCGUGGUCGAGACUCCAGCCUUCCAAUCCCCGCAAGUUGCUUUACAACAACUCCCAUGGCUCAGGUUAACCUGAGAGUUUCCGCUCUUUCAACCAAACUGAGGCUAGCUCAGCCUUCACCUUUAACCUCCGGGUACAUGCUAAGAAUCGGAAGAGGCGAAUGGAGAGGACGAGUAUGGACAUCCCUCCAUGAACCCCCAGGCCUGACGCUGGCCCAAGGAGGCCCCGAGAAAGAGCCCGGCCCAGUUCCUGCUACACCAGAACCCCAGGUCCAGCUCCAAUGCCACCUCCUCAGAGAGGCCUUUCUUUAUCCUUCCAGUUCAAAUAUCCACCAUCUUGAUGUCCGAAGGCAAAGAGAGUCUGAUCCAGCCAGCUAGGGCUUUGGCUGCUGAAAUCCAGCCGGCUCCCCAGAGCAUCAGCCUCACCUGGUAAAGACUUCCCCCAAGGGCUAGCCACAAGCCGCCCCUUCCCCGGAGGGGGGCUCACUCCUCCUUCCCGUCAACUGAAGAUCCUUCGUGAAUGGGCUUGUCUGGAACUGCUGCAAUUAAACCAUCAGAGCAACACUGGACCAUUUGUUUACUAUGGCGCUUAGAGCUGGAAUGGCUUGUUGUUUUGACAGUUUCUAUUUUCAGCUCCAUUUCCUAGGGGUAGCAGGGAGAGGGUAGGCAAUGAAUCCUGGUCUAUUCAAGUAAAAAGAUGCUUCAGUGAAUCCUAGAAUUUCAGAGUUACUGAAUUCUGGAAUCAUUGUCUUG